RNAcentral lists this ribosomal RNA (451 nucleotides) under uncultured bacterium. Its description in RNAcentral is "partial 16S ribosomal RNA". It matches the Rfam family "Bacterial small subunit ribosomal RNA", at positions 354 to 796 of the family's 1533-position model. The record is from RNAcentral.
GUAGGGAAUCUUCCGCAAUGGACGAAAGUCUGACGGAGCAACGCCGCGUGAGCGAAGAAGGUCUUCGGAUCGUAAAGCUCUGUUGUCAGGGAAGAACAAGUGCCGUUCGAACAGGGCGGUACCUUGACGGUACCUGACGAGGAAGCCACGGCUAACUACGUGCCAGCAGCCGCGGUAAUACGUAGGUGGCAAGCGUUGUCCGGAAUUAUUGGGCGUAAAGCGCGCGCAGGCGGUUCCUUAAGUCUGAUGUGAAAUCUCGCGGCUCAACCGCGAGCGGCCAUUGGAAACUGGGGAACUUGAGUGCAGGAGAGGGGAGCGGAAUUCCACGUGUAGCGGUGAAAUGCGUAGAGAUGUGGAGGAACACCAGUGGCGAAGGCGGCUCUCUGGCCUGUAACUGACGCUGAGGCGCGAAAGCGUGGGGAGCGAACAGGAUUAGAUACCCCUGUAGUCC